Molecule: non-coding RNA, 1241 nt
Organism: Gadus morhua (Atlantic cod)
Lineage: Eukaryota; Metazoa; Chordata; Actinopteri; Gadiformes; Gadidae
Source: the annotation of a RefSeq genome assembly
CAAGUACCCUGAAAUGUACUUUAAAUAUAGAACAAAUAUUUGAAAAUAUUUUUUUUUGUUACAAAAUGUCAGGGUGUCAGGCUUCAAAAUGACAGUAAGGCUUAUUUUGAAAAGUUGCCUUAGAAUUAGAUUUAACUGCAUUUUGACAUGUUUGGCUGUUUGCCGUUGAACAAGUGAGUUUUGGAAAAUCUAAAUUUAAUUUUUUACAUUAAGGUAGAUGACAGGGAGUAAUGGUACACACGGAUGUCAGAAAUGUCCCAAUUAUGAAUGACUAAAAUAUUCUGUUGUUCACGGAAUUCCAUACAUUUUAAAUUCCAAGUCAGUAACAUCAUUAGGUAUUUGUAGCAGGGAUUCUUAAUGUGUGACUGCCUCAGGAGUUGGGAAAUUGCUCUUUGGGACUGGUACAAAACUCAUGGUUUAUUCAAAGGGGCCAGAAGAAGAGCCGAAAUACUACCGACUAGGAAGUAAAGGAACCAAAGCCUGCCUGGCGACGGAUUUCUCUUCAUACAAUGGGACCAUUGGGACGAUUGGGUUUUACAAGACAUCAAAAGCUUCUAGAGCGCCUGAAGAGGCGUUCUACAGCCAGGUGGCCGUCAACCCUGAGAGCGGUACCUGUGUCGAAGGUGACGCAACGUGUAAGAGGGGUUUUGGGCCAGACAAGGAGGUGACCUCCAUGUCUUUCAUCAUGCUGGUUCUGAGAAUCCUCUUCCUGAAGGCCGUCGCCUUCAAUGUCCUCAUGACCCUACGACUGUGGAUCCACUAGGUGAUUCUCUGGGAUUCAGAAAACCAUUGACCGAAUCAACUGAAGACAACUUUUUGUUCCCCCGCUCUGCGUUCCUUGGACUGUAAUGUAUGCUGUGUUAACCAAUGCUGGAAUCACAAACCAACUAGGUUGUAAAUGUCUGUGUUAUUUUAUAAAACAAACAAGAUGGGCAGUAUACCGGCACAUGCACAACAUCAUGUCACACAAACUUUCUGUAGAUGUAGUGUUUUGCUUUAAGGAAAAACUAAGUUUAACUCGUAAAUGUUUUUUUGUUUUUUAGUUCUGUGUGUUAUUGUCAUUAUGUGUUGUAAUGUCACAUGUACAUUUCAGAGUUAUAUAAGUCCUCACAGCUGUACCUAGCUAAGCUUUCAAAUUAAUUAAGUGUCAUAGAUUUAUUACAGCAUUGCAUCAUUUACUGAGAUCUGUCUAUGGCUUGUGUGUUGAAUGCGAAUAUAUAAUAAAGCAGUAUUUCAAUUAA